CCUACGGGUGGCAGCAGUGAGGAAUAUUGGUCAAUGGGCGGGAGCCUGAACCAGCCAAGUAGCGUGCAGGAUGACGGCCCUAUGGGUUGUAAACUGCUUUUAUGCGGGGAUAAAGUGAGGGACAUGUCCUUCAUUGCAGGUACCGCAUGAAUAAGGACCGGCUAAUUCCGUGCCAGCAGCCGCGGUAAUACGGAAGGUCCGGGCGUUAUCCGGAUUUAUUGGGUUUAAAGGGAGCGUAGGCCGUGGAUUAAGCGUGUUGUGAAAUGCAGGUGCUCAACGUCUGCACUGCAGCGCGAACUGGUCCACUUGAGUGUGCGCAACGCAGGCGGAAUUCGUCGUGUAGCGGUGAAAUGCUUAGAUAUGACGAAGAACUCCGAUUGCGAAGGCAGCCUGCGGGAGCACAACUGACGCUGAAGCUCGAAAGUGCGGGUAUCGAACAGGAUUAGAUACCCGGGUAGUC
This 460-nucleotide ribosomal RNA is filed under the name uncultured Prevotella sp. Its description in RNAcentral is "bacterial SSU rRNA". It matches the Rfam family "Bacterial small subunit ribosomal RNA", at positions 338 to 795 of the family's 1533-position model. Lineage: Bacteria; Pseudomonadati; Bacteroidota; Bacteroidia; Bacteroidales; Prevotellaceae. The record is from RNAcentral.